AGCCCCUGGCAAUGGGCAAAGAGACACCUUGUUUGUGAUGUUCUUAGAUCAGUCAGGGGGAGAGCAGGUACCAGUCUUUUGCUCAUCCUAGCCUGAUGCCUGGCUUGGUGGUCAAAACUGUCUUAUGCCUAGGAUUCCAAA
Mastomys coucha (southern multimammate mouse) is the source of this 141-nucleotide small nucleolar RNA. RefSeq annotates it as small nucleolar RNA SNORA48. The record is from RefSeq and is a predicted model, not a curated record. The transcript has a single exon. Lineage: Eukaryota; Metazoa; Chordata; Mammalia; Rodentia; Muridae.